UCCAUUUGUUAUCGUGUUUCCGAGCCCUCUCUUCUUCUCUGCAACCGAUGUCAUCGCCCUCGAUGUCGCCGAACGAAGGCUAUCACCUCCCAAUCUCCUCCACUGCACCUUAGAUGCUGUGCACUUGGACCCACUGUAGCUCAACUCUCAGAUCUGCCACCCAUUGCAGCUUAGACUCAGAUCCACCAUGAAUCUCAACCAGCCUCUCAGAUUCGCUUUCGAGAUUUGGACUGUUUGGUUUGAAGUUAAUGUUGCUUUGAGGUUGUAUGUCGCAGUAGAUAUUCUUCUGGGGAAUAUGCUUUGUUUGGCUUGAAGUUUAUGCCGGUUCAAGCAUGGAGACAAGGAACAUGAAGGAUGCUUACAAAUUAUUCUAAAG
Juglans regia (Persian walnut) is the source of this 376-nucleotide long non-coding RNA. RefSeq lists it as uncharacterized. Lineage: Eukaryota; Viridiplantae; Streptophyta; Magnoliopsida; Fagales; Juglandaceae. The transcript has 4 exons. The record is from RefSeq and is a predicted model, not a curated record.